RNAcentral lists this ribosomal RNA (554 nucleotides) under uncultured bacterium. Its description in RNAcentral is "bacterial SSU rRNA". It matches the Rfam family "Bacterial small subunit ribosomal RNA", at positions 102 to 674 of the family's 1533-position model. The record is from RNAcentral.
ACGGGUGAGUAACACGUAGGUAACCUACCCUUCAGUGGGGGACAACAGAGGGAAACUUCUGCUAAUACCGCAUACGAUCACGGACUGGGAUGUUCGUGGUGAAAGGAUUUAUUCGCUGAGGGAUGGGCCUGCGGCCUAUCAGGUAGUUGGUGGGGUAAUGGCCUACCAAGCCUGCGACGGGUAGCCGGACUGAGAGGUCGAUCGGCCACACUGGAACUGAGACACGGUCCAGACUCCUACGGGAGGCAGCAGUGGGGAAUAUUGCACAAUGGGGGAAACCCUGAUGCAGCGACGCCGCGUGGAGGAUGACGGCCUUCGGGUUGUAAACUCCUUUUGUCGGGGACAAUGGUGAUGGUACCCGACGAAUAAGCCACGGCUAACUCUGUGCCAGCAGCCGCGGUAAGACAGAGGUGGCGAGCGUUGUUCGGAAUUACUGGGCUUAAAGGGCGCGUAGGCGGUGGUGUAAGUCUAGGGUGGAAUGCUACAGCUCAACUGUAGAGCUGCCUUGGAAACUGCAUUACUUGAGUCGGUGAGGGGAAGGUGGAAUUCCAGGU